Molecule: ribosomal RNA, 406 nt
Filed under: uncultured bacterium
Lineage: Bacteria
Description: partial 16S ribosomal RNA
Rfam family: Bacterial small subunit ribosomal RNA
Source: RNAcentral
AUUGAACGCUGGCGGCAGGCCUAACACAUGCAAGUCGAACGAGUGGCGGACGGGUGAGUAAUGUCUGGGACACUGCCCGAUGGAGGGAGAUAACUACUGGAAACGGUAGCUAAUACCGCAUACCAUCGGAUGUGCCCAGAUGGGAUUAGCUAGUAGGUGGGGUCAGGGCUCACCUAGGAGACGAUCCCUAGCUGGUCUGAGCGGAUGACCAGCCACACGUGAACUGAGACACGGUACAGACUCAUACGGGAGGCAGCAGUGGGGAAUAUUGCACAAUGGGCGCAAGCCUGAUGCAGCCAUGCCGCGUGUAUGAAGAAGGCCUUCGGGUUGUAAAGUACUGUCAGCGGGGAGGCGUUACCCGCAGAAGAAGCACCGGCUAACUCCGUGCCAGCAGCCGCGGUAAUUC